GAAUUAAUAAGAAACGGAAUGACCUUUGGAGUGCUGUCAUUUCUGUACCUGCCUCCCUGUGACGCCUGCUCUGCUGCCUCGCUAAGAAUAACAGCUCGUCAGGAGAGCCCUGCUUGGAGCUGGCAUGCCCCUACACCAGAGCUUCCAAGCGUGCUGAAAAGAACUUUCCUUAUGGCUCCCGUUUGCAAUUCCUGCAGCCCCGUGUGCUUGAGGCAGAUCCCUGAUGUCCUAUGGCCUGGUCUUGCAGGGAAACUCCUCACCAGCCUCUUAAAUCCUCAGCAGUCCCUCAGCGAAGCCCCUCCAGUGUAACACCACGGCUCAGCGAGGACCUCAGCAACCUUCCUUCCUUCUUUGAGU
Molecule: long non-coding RNA, 357 nt
Filed under: Calidris pugnax (ruff)
Lineage: Eukaryota; Metazoa; Chordata; Aves; Charadriiformes; Scolopacidae
Description: lncRNA (ENSCPUG00000009486.1)
Source: RNAcentral